RNAcentral lists this long non-coding RNA (798 nucleotides) under Ananas comosus (pineapple). RNAcentral describes it as "long non-coding RNA (ACOM_LNC009222)". The record is from RNAcentral. Lineage: Eukaryota; Viridiplantae; Streptophyta; Magnoliopsida; Poales; Bromeliaceae.
AAGGAUAAAGGAAGAAUAAGAAAUUUAUUCCUCUUAUUCUUCCAAACGGUAUCAAAUAACGCCAAGAACUAUUAUUCUUCUCUUAACGGGUUAUUUCGGAAUAACCCGUUAAGAGGGAAGAAUAGUAGUUCCACCUAUUUGGUGGAACAAGCUAUUCUCUACCUUAUUCCUCUACUAAUUAAAUUAUAAAUAAUUAUAAAUUAUAAUUAAUUAAUGCAUUUAAAUUUUUUAAUAAUUGACUAAUUAAUUAUUUAAGUUAUUAAAUUAAUAAAUAUUUAAAUAAUAAUUUAUUUAUAAUUUAUUAUUAUUUAUCUAAUUAAAUAGUUAGCCAUAUAUUCAAUUAUUUACUAAUAUUUAUAUUAUUUAAAUAAUUAGUAUUUUAAUUUAUAUAAUUAAUAUAUUAACUAAAAAAAUAAAUGAUUAAAUAAUUAAUUCUAUUAACAUGUUGACUUAUUUUUUAUAGUUAUUUACUAAUUAAUGUCAUCUUUGUCAUCUCAUAUCGUAAUUUUAAUUAAUUUAUAAUGUAAUUUUGAUUAAUUUAUUUAUUAACUUAUUAAAAUAUUAUUUACUAAUACUUAGGUGUUUAAUAUUUAGAUAAAUUAAUUUUAUUUUCAAUCAUAAUUACUCUUAUCCCUACUAUUCCAACCCAAUCAACCAAACGUAAUUUUUUUUAUUUCUCUAAAUAUCUUGAUUCUCGUCCAAACACAAAAUUGAACUAAUUUCUACCUAUCACAAAAAUUACACCUAUCCCAAGAAUAAACAAAAAUUGGUUGUUCUUGAACCAAACGGUACCUUAAG